GAGGAGGAGGAGGAAGAAAAGUGUAUGUUAGACGAAAUGGGCAGGGAAGAAAAGAAAGGGAGGGGAAACGAGACAAACUAAGAGAGAAAGAAGUGAGGAGACCGUUGGAUUGGGAGGGAGGGAGCAAGGGGAGUGAACGGGAAGUAAGGGGCAGGAUCAGCUUUAAGGCCGAGGACGAGGGGUAGCGGGUCACAUCGAUAUCUUUUCUGACCUACGAGUUCUGCAGGUCAGGGAGACUGCCUCGUGAGUGUGUCUUUUCACCAUAUCCUUAAAGAUCCUUCCUCUUAUCAAAAUUAAGACAGGGAGACUGGAGGACGAUUGAGAGCAUUAUACCAAGUUAGUGAAGAGAGGUUAGGUUAGGCAUUGUACCAGGUUAGUGAAGAGAGGUUAGGUUAGGCAUUGUACCAGGUUAGUGAAGAGAGGUUAGGUUAGGCAUUGUACCAAGUUAGUGAAGAGAGGUUAGGUUAGGCAUUGUACCAGGUUAGUGAAGAGAGGUUAGGUUAGGCAUUGUACCAGGUUAGUGAAGAGAGGUUAGGUUAGGCAUUGUACCAGGUUAGUGAAGAAAGGUUAGGUUAGGCAUUGUACCAGGUUAGUGAAGAGAGGUUAGGUUAGGCAUUGUACCAGGUUAGUGAAGAGAGGUUAGGUUAGGUUUGACCAGGUUUUAUAUUUGCACUUCGUCUCUUCAGGUUUAAUUUGGUUAUGUUUGGUUUUAUUUCUCACAGUUUCGUUUGGUUUUACUUUUUGUUGUUGUUCUUGUAUUGGCUGUUAUUGAUUGCGCUUAGUUUGGUUUUGCUUGGUUUGUUUAUGUUGAUAUUUGCCUUUUUUCUUUGGGGGGGGGUCGUAAGGAUUAAUUAGUUUAGGUUUUUGUUUAAUUGCUCUCAGUUUCGUAUAUCUGUUCCUUAUUUUAGUUUCUGUAUUGACUUUUUAUUGAUAAAGUUAAGUUUGGGUUGGUUUGGCUUGAUAAUUUUCAUAAGUUAGCUUCGGUCAAGGUUAGAUAAGGCAAGGUUUAUCUAAAUGCGGUAAGCCUUGUGUGUUGAUAAGUGUGGUUUGUUAAUCAGUUAUAUUUUAUUAGGAAGCUUCGGUCAGGCUAGAUAAGGUUGGCUCUCUGUGGAUUUUUCUAAAUGCUGCAAUAGUUUAUGUGUUGAAAGGUGUGGUUUGUGUGUGUGUUUGGCAAGUGAGCUGCGUUGGGGAAAUAAAUACGAAGAGCAAAUAAUGAUAACUUGAAAUGUGAGAGGUCGGUUCUGGUGUAUGAGAGAGGGGAAGGGAAGGAGGGGAUGAGUUGGGACUAGGCAGAGAGGAGGGGAGGAGGGGAUGAGGACAGAGAGGCUUCAAGGGGAGGGAGGGUCUUGAAGGGGAGGAAGGGGCGAAUUGGAUAGGAGGGGUGAUGCUGGGAGGAAAGACUUUAAGGGGAGGAGGAGGGGUUGAAAGGGGAGGAGGGAGAGGACAAGGAGGGACUUCGAUGAGAGGAAGGAGCGAGGAUGGGAGGAAGGGGUGAGGCAGGGCAGAAGGAGAGGACGAGGAGGGACAUGAAGGGGAGGGAGGAGGCGAGGAUGGGAGGAGGGCGAAGUGGGUUGGCACAGGGAAAGUAAAUUUGCAAACGUGUGUGUGCGUUUUCGUGAUUUCCGUGUUUUACAUCGAAAGGCUGAAGAGGAGGCUGAAUGGGACGAAAAUCGAGUGUUCUAAAUCACCGGGUAACACGAGGUAAAAUGUUGUCGAAUGGAAAUAUAAGAGGAAUGGAAAAUGGAAUAAUGGAGACCUGGAAGCCUGUUCGUAGCAGAAUAACAAUCCUUUGGGGCGAUAUUCUUCGAGUGAGAGCAUAUUGGAGUAACAGUUUUCUAGUAACGACAUUUUUGGGUUAACAUUUUCCAUUUAUAUAAUCAUUUCGGAGUAACUUUCUCGAAUAAGAACAUUUUGAAGCAACAUUUUUUCCAUAUAAUAAUUUCGGAGUAACAUUUUUUUGAGUAGCAACAUUUUGGAGUAAAACUUUUUUUAAUACCGUCAUUUUCAAGUAUUUUUUAAUAACAUUUUGAAGUAACGUUUUUCGAGUAGCAGAAUUUUAGAGUAACAAUUUUUCCAUUAACAACAUUUUAGAGUAACGUUCUUUUUCGAAUUUUGGAUCAACAUUUUUCGAGUAACAACAUUUUUGGGGUAACCUUUUUUAAUAAGAACAUUUUGAAGUAACAUUUUCGACAAGAAGAAUCUUUUGGAGUAACUUUUUUGGAACUGACAUUAUAAAGAACAUUUUUCGAAUAAGAGCAUUUUAGAAUUAUCAUGAUUUUCCGCGCCGUCUCUGGCCUUGCCCUCACUCACUCACUCGGGGCUUUAAAAGAACAAGACGUAAAUAAAUGUUACUGAAUUUUAGAGGAACAUCUAAAAAAAAAAAAGUGCAUUAUGGCGGACGUAAUCCCUCACCUUUCAUCAUUCCUUUCCCCUUCUGCCUUUCCAACCUCUCUCCCUCUCUCUCUCGCUCUCUUGCUCUCUCUUUCUCUCUCCCUUCCUUCCUUCCUUUUCCCGUCCUCGUCCAACCCAUCCCCUCCUCCGCCUCUGCCUCCUCCUCUUCCUCUUCCGUCAUUAUUUCCACCAUCCACAUCUCUCUACCUCCUGGCCUGCUUCCAAAUAUUCACUCGCACACGUUUCAUUCAAUAUUGCUGUAACUUUAAGUGAGAUUCUGUUCCUACGUUAAAAGGGGAGAGACUCUUCCUCCUCCUCGUCCUCCUCCUCCUACUCCCAUUUUCUUUCCAUGUAACGAAGGGCUUAUGAGGGAGCCAGAGAGGGUGGGUGUAACUAUUUUUUUUCUUUCACUCAUUCACUGGUGUUGGUCUCUCUCUCUCUCUCUCUCUCUCUCUCUCUCUCUCUCUCUCUCUCUCUCUCUCUCUCUCUCCCCUAUAGAAGGUGCGGCUAAUUUUCUCCUUAAGCCCUUGAAACUACAGGCGCCGGGCUGGUCUAGGCUUGGCCGGGCUCUGGGCGAGGCAGGGCGAGGCUACGUUACUCUUUUUUGUCAUUAACUCAUUUUCAGCGUGAGUUGUUUUCGUCGCCCGCGUGACUUAAUGGAUUUAGGGCAAGGGUGAGGUGGUGAGGAGAGGGGGGGAGGGGAUGAGAGUGAAGGAGGUAGGGGGUGAAGGGGUAGGGGGAGGAGGGUGAAUAGGGGAUUGGGGAAGGGGAUGAGAGUGAAGGAGGUAGGGGGUGAAGGGGUAGGGGGAGGAGGGUGAAUAGGGGAUUGGGGAGGGGCGUGGUAUAGAAACGUUUCCCGGAGUGUGAUUCUCUUCCCAUUACGAUCUGAGAGAACUGGCUUCUGUUCGCAGGGGAAGAUAGCGGAGGGUCGAUUUUUUUUCUUUAUUCCUCUUCUCCCUUUCGCUUUCUCUCUAUUUGUCUAUGUCUAUUUAUCUAUCUCUUUCUCUAAUUACUCGUUUUUUCGUUCUAUUUAUCUAUCUUUGUUUCUCUAAUUACUCGUUUUUUCGUUCUAUUUAUCUAUCUUUGUUUCUCUAAUUACACGUUUUUCGCUCUAUUUAUCUAUCUUUGUUUCUCUAAUUACUCGUUUUUUCGCCCCUUCAGUAUCACCUUUCCCCCCUUUUUUUUCUCGUAACCUUCACUCACUCAUAUAAAUCAUCUCUAUCUUUUCACCUAUUUAUCUAUUUAUAUCUACAUUUAUUUUCUUAUCUUCCUGUCUUGUUUACAUUUCUUAGCCCUUUUCAUUAUCCCCUUUCUCCGUUUUUCCCCGACUCGUUUUUGUUCAUUUUUCCCCUUUUUGCCUUUACCCAAGCUUUCCAACAUCAUAUUACUCUCUAUCACAAGCCUCUAUUUAAUAUUCCAUUCAUCCUCUUACCUUUCAUCCACCCACUCGCCUUGCUAAGUCAGUAUUUUUCCUUGCAUAUUAUUUUUACCGUCAUUUUUUAAGCCUCUGUUCUCCUAUAUGCUUUCCUGCCUCCCACACACACUCUCUCUCUUUUGAUCUCCCUCCUGUUCUGUUUCUUUCACACACCGCUCUUAGUUCUUUCCCUCACGCCUUUUUCUACGGUUUUUUCCACUCGUUGCUUUACUGCCUCUUCUCCCGUUCCCCUCUUCUCUUUUUCCUCUAAUUCCCUCAUCCGUUUACCUCCUAACUUAUCCUUAUGUUCCAGUAUCACAUUUAUCACCCAUUCUUUCUUCAUCUCUUUCGUCCUGUGUACCUCUUCUUAUGUCAUCCAUUACCCUCUCACGUAUCCUCCAUUAGCCCUUCUCUCUUAGUGUCUUUUGUUGUCUCUCUUCCUUUAUCCCUCUUCCUUUCCCAUAUCUUUCCCCCAAUCCCUUCCUCUCUUCAUCAGUCCAUCUCUAUCCUUCCAUCCUCUUUCCUCUCCUCUCAUCCUAUCUUCAUCACAAUCUUCAUACUCCCAGCGGCCUCCCUUCCCCUUUCCCACCCUUUUUCCUCCCCUCCCUUCCUGUCUUCAUCAGCCCAUCUACAUGCUCCCAACAGCCUCACCUCCGUCCCCUCCCCUUCCUCGCCCCUUUCUCCUCCCACGCACACCCUCGCCCCGCUCGCCCGCCGCCACCAGCGCCUCUGUGUCUGCCGGCGCCGCGCUGAGGAUCCUGUAAACUUUCUCCUCCUUCUCGCCAGACAAACUAUCUUACUUUCUUCCUGAGCACUGCAUUGAUCAGCUCCGAGACACACACACAUACACACACACACACACACACACACGCACACUCACACAGAACAAGAAGCUACGUGACUGGGUGGUUGUAUAUGUCUGAGUGUGUGUGUGUGUGUGUGUGUGUGUGUGUGUGUGUGUGUGUGUUUGUGUUUGUGUUUGUGAGAAGAUAAAAUACUUCUUUUUUUUCUUUUUUCAUUCUCGUCUCUAUCUUUUUUUCUGGUGGGUUGUGUUUGUGGAAGAGGCAAAAAAGAGAUCAAAUACUCACAUUUUUUUUAUAUUAUCAUCGCUAUCUUAUCGCGUGUUUGUGUAUGUGUUUGUGAAAGAGACAGAAAGAUAUAAGAUCCGCACUUUUUUUUUUCAUUCGCGUUCUCUUUUCGUUUUUCUGUCUUUCUUUCCCUCGGUGACUUAUUCCUACUCCUAGCAAUGACAACCAACUUUUACAACUCAUUUCCUUCCCUCCUUCUUUCUUUCCCUCUACUCGUAUCUCUUUUUUUUCCCUCCUCCUCCUCUUCCUCCUCAUAUGCCUCAUCCUUCCUUCUUUCCUUCUAUUUCUCCCUCUCGUUUUUCAUUCCCACUCCUCCUCCUCCUCUUCCUCCUCUUUGGCUCAUUCACAUCGCCGUUAAAAACCUUCCUCUCAUCCUUCUAUCUUCACAGAACUCCCUAGUAUUUUUCUCUCCUUCCCUACCUCUCUCUGGACCUCUCUCUGGUAGCUCAAAGUCGUCUCUUCAAACCCCCAACUCAACGCCUACAAAUGGCUCAAUAUUUUUCACCUUUUUCCUCGGCUUGAGUGACGGCCGUACAAGCUGCACCAGGGAACGGCGGAGAGUGGAAUGCAAGACCCCGUGAAAAUUAGUUUUAUACACACGGCAUCAGUCAGCUGUCAGCGAGAGAGAGAGAGAGUGAGAGUGAGAGAGAGGGAGUGGGAGAGGGAAAGGAGGGAGGUUGGGUAGUAAUUCCGUUUCAAGUCUACAAAACGCAGAUUCGAGUAAUGGGAACAGUUUGCUUAUGACGAAAGGUGACGUGAUGAUGAUGAGGGAGAGGUCGAGAGAGAGGAGGAGGAGGGAGAGGAGGCUGAGAAAGAGUAGAUGAGGAAAAAAACGACGAGGAGGAGGAGGAAACAGAAGAGGAAAAAUAAGCUGUACUACAUUGCGAAAUGAAACGAAAGUAAUUAGGAAGAAAACAUUGAAGAGGGACAGAAGGAAUUUGUUUGAGGAAUUAAAAGAUGUUGAUGGAGAGAAGAUGAGGAAAAUGGACGACGUGGAAAAUGAGGAAACAAGAAAGAAAAACUGAACUAAAUGACGAAACGAAACAAAAGUAAAUAGGAAGAAAACAUAGGAAGAGGGAAAAAAUAACAGUUUGCUAAAACAAGAAAAAAAAGUCAAGCGGAGGAAAAGGAUUUAAGAAGGGAAAAAGCAUCAGUGUAUCCGUUGAUGGUAAAACAAUAGACUGUCAACGGAAUAAGAGGAUAACAAGGACAUGAAGGACAAAGGGUGUUGGAUGGCACGACAGGAGCGUUUGGAAUGCACUCGGAGGAUAGAAAAUAAGUCAUGAGCCGCGGAACUGAAUCGUGUUUAAGCAAAGACGAGACCGAGUUUGCGAAUUCCGAUGAAAACGAGAAACUGAGAUGAAGCGUCGUAAAAAAAUAUUAAAGAAACGAAGCAAACUUAGGGAAAAUAGAAGU
Long non-coding RNA from Eriocheir sinensis (Chinese mitten crab), 6309 nucleotides. RefSeq lists it as uncharacterized. The record is from RefSeq and is a predicted model, not a curated record. The transcript has 5 exons. Lineage: Eukaryota; Metazoa; Arthropoda; Malacostraca; Decapoda; Varunidae.